GACGUAGGGCGCGAGCGUUGUCCGGAUUUAUUGGGCGUAAAGAGCUCGUAGGUGGUUUGUCGCGUUGUUCGUGAAAACUCACAGCUUAACUGUGGGCGUGCGGGCGAUACGGGCAGACUAGAGUACUGCAGGGGAGACUGGAAUUCCUGGUGUAGCGGUGGAAUGCGCAGAUAUCAGGAGGAACACCGGUGGCGAAGGCGGGUCUCUGGGCCGAUACUGACACUGAGGAGCGAAAGCGUGGGGAGCGAACAGG
RNAcentral lists this ribosomal RNA (253 nucleotides) under uncultured bacterium. Its description in RNAcentral is "partial 16S ribosomal RNA". It matches the Rfam family "Bacterial small subunit ribosomal RNA", at positions 524 to 776 of the family's 1533-position model. The record is from RNAcentral.